Molecule: long non-coding RNA, 978 nt
Organism: Homo sapiens (human)
Lineage: Eukaryota; Metazoa; Chordata; Mammalia; Primates; Hominidae
Source: Ensembl
CUCCUCCAUCAGCUAAGGGGGGAUGGGCUGAGCCUGAACAGAGGGAGAGGGGAGUAAAUAAGGGGCUGUUGCCAGAGCCUGAGCCCACCAGAGAAAGUCUGUGUGCAGAGGGAGGGCCUCAGGUCCUGCUGCUCCUUCAUCUUGACCCCUUCACACCCUCCUCUAACAGGGACCUCGACCUCCCUUCUCCACUCUCCUGGAUCCUGCUCAGUGUGGUGCAGGCCUUCUCUGGGGCCCUGGAGUUCCCACUGACCUUCAGCCCCGCCAGUUGCAUCUGCUGUUCCCACUGAAGGUUAGUGGACAGGGUGGAGGUGGCUAAAGGUGGAAAAGAUACUUUGUGAGAGGGGGACCCCAACACGAGGACAGGGCACUGACGGAGCCUUUACCAAAAUGCUGGGAAAGGUCUCCCCACCAUCCACAUAUUCUCUCCCAGGCCUCAAAGGGCCCUCCCCAGUCUCCAGCUGUCAGCUUUCCCACCUCCACCUUCUCUCCUCCUUUCGGUUCUGCUUCUGAAUUUCUUCAAAAAUUCUCCUGCAUCAAGACUCUCAUGCUAGUCAGUUCCUGCCUGGGGUCACCAGACUGCUUCGAAGUCAGGAAGAACAUGGUGGGGACGGUGACUUGAGUUUCCUGGACCACAGUGCAGGUCCUGUUCUCUACGAGUGAAUAUCCUAAUGACCAUAAUAAAGCCAGUUCCCUUUUUGGGGACUGACAUUUGUUGAGAACUCCCCCUAUGAAUGCUGUCUUGCUGCAAAACUUCACCUCUGGAUAAAGUGGCUGUGCUCCUUCUGGAUGUCUGCAUCAGGGCUGCUGAGGCACAGCUGAGAAUGCACCACACAGCUGACUACGCUGCUGAGCAAAUCUCAUUACUAAAUGCACAUCCCUUUCAAGGAUGCCAGGCGUUAGGGCUGCAUUGCAACUUUGAUGGACACUGGGGAUUAAUGCCUGUGUGUCCUUGUUCCAUUAAAAAGUUUGAAGUUU